CUAUGCCUGGGCUGGACGAAGCUAGAGGAGACUUUGGUAGAGAUCUUUAGUGGUUCUGAUGUACAAAUUGAUCAUCAGAUCAGGGCCCAGGGGUGAAAGAAAUAA
Non-coding RNA from Stegodyphus mimosarum, 105 nucleotides. The record is from Rfam. Lineage: Eukaryota; Metazoa; Arthropoda; Arachnida; Araneae; Eresidae.